GACGAACGCUGGCGGCGUGCUUAACACAUGCAAGUCGAACGGAAAGGCCCUGCUUUUGUGGGGUGCUCGAGUGGCGAACGGGUGAGUAACACGUGAGUAACCUGCCCUUGACUUUGGGAUAACUUCAGGAAACUGGGGCUAAUACCGGAUAGGAGCUCCUGCUGCAUGGUGGGGGUUGGAAAGUUUCGGCGGUUGGGGAUGGACUCGCGGCUUAUCAGCUUGUUGGUGGGGUAGUGGCUUACCAAGGCUUUGACGGGUAGCCGGCCUGAGAGGGUGACCGGCGACAUUGGGACUGAGAUACGGCGCAGACUCGUACGGGAGGCAGUAGGGGGGAAUAUGGCAGAAUGGGCGGAAGUCUGAUGCAGCAACGCCGCGUGCGGGAUGACGGGCUUCGGGUUGUAAACCGCUUUCGCCUGUGACGAAGCGUGAGUGACGGUAAUGGGUAAAGAAGCACCGGCUAACUACGUG
Molecule: ribosomal RNA, 468 nt
Filed under: uncultured bacterium
Lineage: Bacteria
Description: partial 16S ribosomal RNA
Rfam family: Bacterial small subunit ribosomal RNA
Source: RNAcentral